Long non-coding RNA from Gallus gallus (chicken), 5488 nucleotides. NCBI's taxonomy places the organism in Eukaryota, Metazoa, Chordata, Aves, Galliformes, Phasianidae. The record is from Ensembl.
CCCUGGGUUCAGGCACCAAUUAGCCUCAACACCCUGAUGAGCCCCAUCUGGGACCCUGUCAUCCCACCCACCUGGGGCACAGGUGCUCCAUUUAAGUUCAAGCCCAGGCCCUUCCUGCUUUUCUGCCCUGGGUAGUGCUGGGAGCAUUUCUCUGGAGGAAUUUCUACUGUUGGGACCUUGUUCCAGUUCUCAACCACCACUGCUGUCCUUCUGAAGGUGAUCCCCACCGUGUAGAAAUGAAAGUAUUUCUGGGGUUUGAUCUGGAGUCCUCUGAAGUCGGAGAAAGACUCUUUCCUCAAAGUGAUCCUGUAGCAGUUAGUACUGGACUGAGAGAGGCUUAAUAAUUUACAGAGCAAAAUUCCCACUGCUGUCUGUUUGUUAUUCAAACAUGCUCUGAGCUGAGGGGUGCAGGGAGACAUCCACAAAUAGAGAUUGCCUUGACUUCAGUACAGAAGCUGGAGCUGGAGGUUGCUCAGCUGAUGGCUUCCUUCCCGUCGACUCUGACUGCCUGACUCCUUAAAGCCUUCCCAUGGGUUUUGCCCACAUUCCCAGCACUGGUGUGGGAUCCAUGCAGCCUGAUGUGCACGGGGCUUUGUGCUCUGAGUGAUGCUCAUGUCUGUGCCGGGAGAGCUGCUGCACUGCUGGAGGCAAUGAGGUUUCCUCGUUGCACUGGUGAAGUUAGGUUAUUCAGACAAAUUUGGCUUCUUGUUUGUUUUUAUCCCAAGGAACAGCUCAGCCAGGUAAUAGGCAUCACACAAUCUAUUUCAGUAACAAGCCAAAACCCAAAUCCCAGCUUGUUUUUCUUCCUUCAGGGCUCUUUGUUAGUGUCCAAACAAUGACUUUGAAGCUCCGCUUCCACAGCAGUAAGAGAUGAUCAGUUGUGUUUUUCAAAGUAUUCUUUUUUCCUUAUUUAUAUAACCUUGUCACUCAGGUGUAACCUUCCCCAUAUCUUCCUUUAAUAAACAGCAGUGUGGCAAUCCUGCUCGUCUGCUCUAAGACCUCCUACUCCUCGCUUUUGGAGCGAUGUGGUGGUGUUAUUCUCACUUUGGGGUUACUCAGCAGCUGUAUGACCUGGGGUAAUGCUGCAGUGCUAUGUCAUGAUGAGGACACCAACCUGAGUGGCAUCUUCUCCUCAGGCCUUACCUGGAAACAGCUUUCUGCAAAGUAAUGUUCAGCUCCUGCUUGCGUACUGAUGGCUCAUUGGUCAUAUGUCUGCCCAGACCUGUCCAGAUGUAACGCUCUGGCUCUCUUAAUCUCAUCCAGAGGUGCUGCAUCUCACCAGCUUAUGCUGAACACUGCUGAAUGAGCCCUCAGACCCCUCCCCAGUCUUCCUCCUUGAUUUGCCUCUGAUACCAUGGUUAUCAUUCAGGUCAGCAUCCCUUUGCUGCUUUUGACUUGGAUUUCCCUCUGGGUCCUGAUGUUUAAACUACUGAAUUUUGCAGUCUUUCUGCCUGAAAUGCAAAAAAUAAAACCUCAGCCCUUCUGAUCCACCUGUGCAGGCUGGGUGCUGGUGCCUGUUAGUGUACUUGAGCCUGAUGGUUCCUUCUGGUGCUACCAGGUGAGCACAGCACAGGAAGGCUUUGAUACCUGCAGUAGGUCUGGAGCUUGGCCAACUGGCUGCAGGUUUGAUGUGGGCUUGUUCAUGGAUGCCUUUAAGCCAACCCAGAUUUCGUCAUUAACUGUGCUUCCAGACCAACAGAAAACCUGGAGAAGUACCACAGAUCUCUUCUUCCCCUCACAAAGACGUUUUUGGUGAGCUCAGACAUGCCAGAAACUUGGGAAUGGGCUCUCUGCUGCUGCCCCAUCCUUGCCUUUGGCCUCAGUGUUGCAGUCCUGCCCUGUUCACCUCAGCUGAGAUGUUCCUCUAAUCUUGUUUCUGCCUACUUGCUGUGACCAUCUCUGCCUACGUGUCCAUCCCUCUCACAGUGCUGCAGUGCCAGAAAAGCUAUUGUCUUUGAUUCUGAUGACUCUCCAAGUGUAUUCCUUCCCUGAUGACCGUGUGUGCCCUUGAUUACCAUCUCUGCAGCCAAGCUAUGACAAACUACGUGCUAGAUUCCUUAUGCUGGUCCUUUACUCUAAUGCUUUUCUCCCACAAACCUUGAUCCCAGGCAGCAUGCUAUACAGUGGGAUGAUUGCCCAUAGGGCAGCUCAGCUUCCUUGAUCUUACUGCUUUCCUCCUACCUUGCCCUGAGGGCAGCAGAUUGUAGGGGAUGAGGUCUGUGCAAGAAGUCGGUGCUCCUUGUGCUGCCCUCAGCCAGUGCAAGCUCAAGAUCUACUCCCUUGAUGCUGUCCCAUUAACUUUGCAUGUAGCACCCCCAUCUGCUAAGGAAAAGGUUUGCUUUGCUUGGUUCCUUGAGUAUCUGGCACAGCUGAGUCACACACCAGUUUUCAGACACUAGUGCAAGUAAUUACUAUUUGCAUCCCAGGGAAAAUUGUCUCCUGUUGGCAAAAGCUUCUCCUGUUGGUGUGGGAGAGAAAUGGGGUGUGCUGGACAGUGGCUGCGGCCCAGAUCACUCUGGCUUGCUUUCUCUGCACCCAACAGACUUUGUUAGCGGCCCUCAGUCCCUACAAUUGCAAAGUGGAUCAGCUGAGGCUGUGGAAACUGGGUCACGUUACUGAGGAGGAAUACAAAAGGACAGUGUGUGAGCCUGGCAGGACAGAACCAAAAGGCCAAGGCACAGAAUGAUUACAGAACCAGGAAGAACACAGGAUGAAAGGAAGCUACAGUAUGGGUGUAUCAGAUGCAAGAGGAAGGCAGGGAAGUGCUGGUCCCCUCCUCAGUGAGGAGGGAAGGCUGUGGAUGAAAUGUGGAGCAUGCUACAGUGUUUCAUGAUGAAUUUCCUUCAGCUUCAAUUAAACUGCCUGGCAGCCAACACAGAAGAAUGCAAGAAAAAGAAUGUGGACUGUUCUGAAAUCAGCUAGGUGCAGAGAAUGUCACUGUAGGGUGUGUAGAGAAAAGGCUGGAACAGUCCUCAGAGCUGCUCACUACUAUCUUUGAGACCUUAAGAAGAAUGAGGGAUGUUGUAGGAAUACAAGGAAAACUGUUAAGAGCAGCAGCUAUGAAGUAAGAUAAACAGCAUGAGAACCAAGGCCACCUCUGGAAGAAGAGAAAAAGCAGAAGGAACGGCUGGUGGCUGUGAUUGGAUAAGUGCCUGCAUGCACGGUUAGGGAGUGCUUGUAGAAUACCCUGUUGUCAUGUAAAGGUGGAUGGGGAAGUUGUAAGGGCGGCUGGGAAAGCUAAGAAAGGAAACUUGUGAAUGUAUAUAAGUGAUGUGAGAACUUGUAAUAAACGAUUUGGAUUGUUCACAUCUGAGUCCAUGCAUCAGAUGCUGCAAGCAGUGCCCACUGCGUGGAGCAAAUCAAGAGCACCUCUGCUUCUUGGUCAUUGAUCACACGGUGGAUGCUAACCCUGAUCACCAUUGCAAGAACAUUACAUGGCGAAGCUGUCCAGGCUGUACCGAAGACUCAGGCAUGAUGUAAUGACCAGAAACAAGUUUAUUUGAAUAACAGCAUCUCAACUCAAUCAUCAGAUCCUGCAGUUUAUUAGGUGUUUCCGUGCUGCAGACAUGGAUGUAGAAUUCACUAGGAGAGACAAUUAAAUUCACAAUUGAGUGAGCCUGGUCUGGCAGCACCACCCGACAGAAAGAUUGUUUUGUAUGUCCUGCACCGUUCUGCAGGACGGAAGGAUUCAGCAGGUGGAAGGAUCUCUUCUUAAGGAAGUUAACAGCCCUGCCUUGUUUGCACAGCUCAAGGACUGGCCCUAUGUAGGUUCCAGCACGAUAUGUUUGGCCUCAUCUCAAGGCAGAAAAUAGCAUCCAGCCCUUAUAAUGGCUGGGAUUGCAUGUUUCCUAUUGGUAUUGUAAUUUGUUGUUUUGUAAAUAACUUAUAGGUGCCAUAAUGAGUGAUGAAAAACAGCUGCAUUACACACUGGAUGGUAUUAUAAUAACAUCAGUAAUGGUAUGAUAAAGUGGGUGAUUUCUCUGUGUUACCAAUGCAGUCUCAAAAAUUAGAAUUAUUAGACGUUACCUAGGUUGCUGUGUGCAUCUUCUAUGUUAGUAGUAGAUCAAAUGUGAAUUGAACAGGAUUUGAUGUUACCAGUGCUGGAAUCUAUGGGAAUAGCUCUUCCAGUGUAUUAGUAAUGUAUGGCUAUGAUGCUAUUAGCCUAUCAAUUAGCCUUUUCUAAAUUGGAUGCCUGUGUACGUAUGUUGACUAAGACUCAUAACCCUCUGUGCUGCUCUGAAGGCAUGGUUUGCUUGCCUCUCUGCUCCUGCAACAUCCUGUCUCUCAGAUCCAAGCGUAUCUUGAAACAGUACUGCUCAAGCUUUAGCCACAUUCACCAAGUUAGGAUGUUAGCCAGCUAAGGAAAGUAAUGCCCCUAGUGAUACUCUAGCACACUUGCCCACUAAUAUUGAUUCUCACUGACAUGCAACUUCAUAAAGUUGUAUGACCAUUAAUUUUCCAUUAGCCCAAAGGCACAGUAGUGAGCACUCAAAAAGCAUUUGUUGCACAAAUUUUAGUGAUCAUUCAAAAUCAAUAUAUCAGAGUAGAUGGAAGUUGAAGACUUUUUCUAACCAGUUAUAGAUUAAUACAGAAUGGGACCCUCAGGGAUUCUUUUCCAGGUUGCAGAAACUUGGGCUGCGGGCCAAAUGUGUGUUCUUUUUAAUGGGUUUAACAGUAUUUCUUGUCGUUAUGCUCUGUUUGCCUUGUCUCUUUUCUUACGUUUAGAGUAUUGUCAAUCGAGGCCUUGAUUGAGUUAUAAUGGUUAUUAUUAAUAUAAUCAGCGUUAUUAUUUUAUAGUAUGGUAAUAGAUUGCUAAUAAACAAAAAAGGAGGAAUCGUGGUAAUACAAGGAAAACUGUUCAGAGCAGCAGCUGUGAAGCAAGAUAAACAGCAUGAGAACCAAGGCCACCUCUGGAAGAAGAGAAAAAGGAGAAGGAACGACUGGUGGCUGUGAUUGGAUAAGUGCCUGCAUGCACGGUUAGGGAGUGCUUGUAGAAUACCCCGUUGUCAUGUAAAGGUGGAUGGGGAAGCUAAGAAAGGAAACUUGUGAAUGUAUAUAAGCGAUGUGAGAAUUUGUAAUAAACAAUUUGGAUCGUUCACAUCUGAGUCCGUGCAUCAGAUGCUGCAAGAUGUGUCCUGGUGAAGACCAAAAAUAAUCCCUUAAAGUGGGGGUAAGGAGGCUCCAGAAAGGUGCAGACCAGUGAGUUUAAUUUGCUCUAGUGUUUUCCUGGAAAGUUGGCACAAAAUGAGGUCAGCAGCACUGUGUUUGAGCCACUCUUAAAUCAUCAGCAUCAUCCGCUGUUAUGGUGCAAAGAGAAACAGUGGAUAUGGUGUAACCUGGUUUUAAUUAAGCAUUUUUUUGUUGUUGUUCGCUUGUAUUUUCAUAAAGAAAAUGCAUCAGAAGGAAUUACCACUUGGUGGUUGUCAACUGGUUGGAAAACCAUGCUGGAAAGUUGUUUCAUGUCAAAACAGAAGGCUGUGUAAAGUGG